GACGAACGCUGGCGGCGUGCUUAACACAUGCAAGUCGAACGGAAAGGCCCUGCUUUUGUGGGGUGCUCGAGUGGCGAACGGGUGAGUAACACGUGAGUAACCUGCCCUUGACUUUGGGAUAACUUCAGGAAACUGGGGCUAAUACCGGAUAGGAGCUCCUGCUGCAUGGUGGGGGUUGGAAAGUUUCGGCGGUUGGGGAUGGACUCGCGGCUUAUCAGCUUGUUGGUGGGGUAGUGGCUUACCAAGGCUUUGACGGGUAGCCGGCCUGGGGGGGUGGACGGGCCACAUGGGGCUGGAGAAAGGGCAAGACCUCCACGGGGGGGAGGAGGGGGGAAUAUUGCAAAAAGGGCGGAAGCCUGGUGGCGGCACGCCGGGGGGGGGAUGGGGGGCUUGGGGUUGGUAACCCGUUUCCCCCGGGGAGAAGCGGUGAGUGACGGUAAGGGGAAAAGAAGCACGGGCUAACUACGUG
Molecule: ribosomal RNA, 469 nt
Filed under: uncultured bacterium
Lineage: Bacteria
Description: partial 16S ribosomal RNA
Rfam family: Bacterial small subunit ribosomal RNA
Source: RNAcentral